GGGAACGUGCCCUUCGGUUCGGAAUAACUCAGGGAAACUUGAGCUAAUACCGGAUACGCCCUUUUGGGGAAAGGCUUGACUGCCGAAGGAUCGGCCCGCGUCUGAUUAGCUAGUUGGUGAGGUUAUGGCUCACCAAGGCGACGAUCAGUAGCUGGUCUGAGAGGAUGAUCAGCCACACUGGGACUGAGACACGGCCCAGACUCCUACGGGAGGCAGCAGUGGGGAAUAUGGACAAUGGGGGCAACCCUGAUCCAGCCAUGCCGCGUGAGUGAUGACGGCCUUAGGGUUGUAAAGCUCUUUUCUCCGGGACGAUAAUGACGGUACCGGAGGAAUAAGCCCCGGCUAACUUCGUGCCAGCAGCCGCGGUAAUACGAAGGGGGCUAGCGUUGCUCGGAAUCACUGGGCGUAAAGGGCGCGUAGGCGGCUGAUUUAGUCGAGGGUGAAAGCCCGUGGCUCAACCACGGAAUGGCCUUCGAUACUGGUUGGCUUGAGACCGGAAGAGGACAGCGGAACUGCGAGU
RNAcentral lists this ribosomal RNA (520 nucleotides) under uncultured bacterium. Its description in RNAcentral is "bacterial SSU rRNA". It matches the Rfam family "Bacterial small subunit ribosomal RNA", at positions 120 to 674 of the family's 1533-position model. The record is from RNAcentral.